This 620-nucleotide long non-coding RNA is filed under the name Rattus norvegicus (Norway rat). RNAcentral's name for it is "long non-coding RNA NONRATT022144". Lineage: Eukaryota; Metazoa; Chordata; Mammalia; Rodentia; Muridae. The record is from RNAcentral.
UAACUUUAGGCAUUUUGUUUAGAAUGUGAGUUAGAACAGAGUUAACACUUGAAUUAUGAAUGAGAUAGUUUUUAAUUCAUUGCUUAUUUUAAGAUAAUACAAAAGAAAUUUGACCAAAAUGUUAUAAAUUGCUUUUUAAAAUCUGUGUCAUUACUUUUUGUAGCUUUCUUGAGAUCUUAAAAAUUGUAUUGACUUUGUUAUAAUCCCAUGUUGAAUGUCUUUAUGCCUAAAUCCUGAAUAGAAUGGGGAAUGCAUCAGCAGCCCCCACACCCCCCUCCAGAUCAGCCAUGGAUGCCACCAACACCAGGCCCAAUGGACAUUGUUCCUCCUUCUGAAGACAGCAACAGUCAGGACAGUGGGGAAUUUGCCCCUGACAACAGGCAUAUAUUUAACCAGAACAAUCACAACUUUGGUGGACCACCUGAUAAUUUUGCAGUGGGGCCGGUGAACCAGUUUGACUAUCAGCAUGGGGCUGCUUUUGGUCCACCACAAGGUGGAUUUCAUCCUCCUUAUUGGCAACCAGGACCUCCAGGACCACCAGCACCCACACAGAACCGAAGAGAGCGGCCACCAUCCUUCCGGGACCGACAGCGCUCACCUAUUGCACUUCCAGUGAAGCA